This 240-nucleotide unclassified non-coding RNA is filed under the name soil metagenome. RNAcentral's name for it is "partial contains 5.8S ribosomal RNA, internal transcribed spacer 2, and large subunit ribosomal RNA". The record is from RNAcentral.
AACAUCGCGCACCUGCGGGAACCUGCGGAGGGAUCAUUAUUGAAUAAACUUGGUCAGGUUGUUGCUGGCCCUUCGGGGCAUGUGCACGCUCGACUCUUGUUUUCAUCUCCCAUGUGCACCUUCUGUAGACGUGGAGUUUGGUUUUGUCAUCUUGGCAAAUUUGUGGGAUUGCCGCCGCUUUCGGUGAAGCCGGCUCUCCCGCCAUAUUCCAGUCUACGUUUAUUUCAUAUACCCCUGAAA